UAGGGAAUCUUCGGCAAUGGGGGCAACCCUGACCGAGCAACGCCGCGUGAGUGAAGAAGGUUUUCGGAUCGUAAAGCUCUGUUGUAAGAGAAGAACGUGUGUGAGAGUGGAAAGUUCACACAGUGACGGUAACUUACCAGAAAGGGACGGCUAACUACGUGCCAGCAGCCGCGGUAAUACGUAGGUCCCGAGCGUUGUCCGGAUUUAUUGGGCGUAAAGCGAGCGCAGGCGGUUUAAUAAGUCUGAAGUUAAAGGCAGUGGCUUAACCAUUGUACGCUUUGGAAACUGUUAAGCUUGAGUGCAGAAGGGGAGAGUGGAAUUCCAUGUGUAGCGGUGAAAUGCGUAGAUAUAUGGAGGAACACCGGUGGCGAAAGCGGCUCUCUGGUCUGUAACUGACGCUGAGGCUCGAAAGCGUGGGGAGCAAACAGG
Molecule: ribosomal RNA, 429 nt
Filed under: bacterium
Lineage: Bacteria
Description: partial 16S ribosomal RNA
Rfam family: Bacterial small subunit ribosomal RNA
Source: RNAcentral